AUGAACGCUGGCGGCGUGCCUAAUACAUGCAAGUCGAGCGCACAGACGAGGAGCUUGCUCCUUUGACGUUAGCGGCGGACGGGUGAGUAACACGUGGAUAACCUACCUAUAAGACUGGGAUAACUUCGGGAAACCGGAGCUAAUACCGGAUAACAUGUUGAACCGCAUGGUUCAACAGUGAAAGACGGUCUUGCUGUCACUUAUAGAUGGAUCCGCGCCGCAUUAGCUAGUUGGUAAGGUAACGGCUUACCAAGGCAACGAUGCGUAGCCGACCUGAGAGGGUGAUCGGCCACACUGGAACUGAGACACGGUCCAGACUCCUACGGGAGGCAGCAGUAGGGAAUCUUCCGCAAUGGGCGAAAGCCUGACGGAGCAACGCCGCGUGAGUGAAGAAGGUCUUCGGAUCGUAAAACUCUGUUAUUAGGGAAGAACAAAUGUGUAAGUAACUAUGCACGUCUUGACGGUACCUAAUCAGAAAGCCACGGCUAACUACGUG
Molecule: ribosomal RNA, 496 nt
Filed under: uncultured bacterium
Lineage: Bacteria
Description: partial 16S ribosomal RNA
Rfam family: Bacterial small subunit ribosomal RNA
Source: RNAcentral